AUUGAACGCUGGCGGCAUGCUUUACACAUGCAAGUCGAACGGUAACAGGCCGCAAGGUGCUGACGAGUGGCGAACGGGUGAGUAAUGCAUCGGAACGUGCCCAGUCGUGGGGGAUAACUACUCGAAAGAGUAGCUAAUACCGCAUACGAUCUAUGGAUGAAAUCGGGGGACCGUAAGGCCUCGCGCGAUUGGAGCGGCCGAUGUCAGAUUAGGUAGUUGGUGGGGUAAAGGCUCACCAAGCCAACGAUCUGUAGCUGGUUUGAGAGGACAACCAGCCACACUGGGACUGAGACACGGCCCAGACUCCUACGGGAGGCAGCAGUGGGGAAUUUUGGACAAAGGGCGCAAGCCUGAUCCAGCAAUGCCGCGUGCAGGAAGAAGGCCUUCGGGUUGUAAACUGCUUUUGUACGGAACGAAACGGCUCUGGUUAAUACCCGGGGCUAAUGACGGUACCGUAAGAAUAAGCACCGGCUAACUACGUG
This 482-nucleotide ribosomal RNA is filed under the name uncultured bacterium. RNAcentral describes it as "partial 16S ribosomal RNA". It matches the Rfam family "Bacterial small subunit ribosomal RNA", at positions 30 to 507 of the family's 1533-position model. The record is from RNAcentral.